Molecule: ribosomal RNA, 491 nt
Filed under: uncultured bacterium
Lineage: Bacteria
Description: partial 16S ribosomal RNA
Rfam family: Bacterial small subunit ribosomal RNA
Source: RNAcentral
AGUGAACGCUGGCGGUAGGCCUAACACAUGCAAGUCGAACGGCAGCACAGUAAGAGCUUGCUCUUACGGGUGGCGAGUGGCGGACGGGUGAGGAAUGCAUCGGAAUCUACUUUUUCGUGGGGGAUAACGUAGGGAAACUUACGCUAAUACCGCAUACGACCUACGGGUGAAAGCAGGGGAUCUUCGGACCUUGCGCGAUUGAAUGAGCCGAUGUCGGAUUAGCUAGUGGCGGGGUAAAGGCCCACCAAGGCGACGAUCCGUAGCUGGUCUGAGAGGAUGAUCAGCCACACUGGAACUGAGACACGGUCCAGACUCCUACGGGAGGCAGCAGUGGGGAAUAUUGGACAAUGGGCGCAAGCCUGAUCCAGCCAUACCGCGUGGGUGAAGAAGGCCUUCGGGUUGUAAAGCCCUUUUGUUGGGAAAGAAAAGCAGCAGGUUAAUACCCCGCUGUUCUGACGGUACCCAAAGAAUAAGCACCGGCUAACUUCGUG